Molecule: long non-coding RNA, 1561 nt
Filed under: Ficedula albicollis (Collared flycatcher)
Lineage: Eukaryota; Metazoa; Chordata; Aves; Passeriformes; Muscicapidae
Description: lncRNA (ENSFALG00000024253.1)
Source: RNAcentral
GGGGGGGGGGGGGGGGGGGGGGGGGGGGGGGGGGGGGGGGGGGGGGGGGGGGGGGGGGGGGGGGGGGGGGGGGGGGGGGGGGGGGGGGGGGGGGGGGGGGGGGGGGGGGGGUGUGGGGGGAGCGCUCCGGGGGGGCACAGCACCGGGCUGUGGGGAAAAUGAACCCACAGCAGCAGGGGUUGAUGUCCGAAAAAGGAGGCAGAAAAGUCCUUUUUGCUUUAUUCCGGUGAAGGGAGAGGCCACGGGAUCUCUCAGAUUUUUGGAGGAUUCACCUCCCUUUUUAUCCCAAUUUCCCAUCCACAUUUCCCUCUCCCUUUCCCCAUUGCUGAGGUACUUGAGAGGCACAGACUGCCCAAACACCUGACACCUGAGAUUCCCCUCUAAUGUACAACCCCCCCUUUUCAUUUUUAAUUCUUACAGAAUUCAUAGUUUUUCCCUGUUGCUUCUUUCAUCUUCCAAUAUCCAAUUUCAUUUAUCAGCAAACCCACAGCUUGUUUGGAAAGGCAAAUCUCUUUUUUUUCCCCAUUCAUCAGUCAGUGGAAUCCAUCCCAUUGGUUUUUUUAUCUCUCAGUGCUAACUCCUCUGACUGCCUACAGCCCCAUGAAAAUCCCAAACAACUUCAUAAAUCACCAAAAAAAAAUCCUUCCCAAGUUCUAGCCUCCAGUUUUCUCUUGCCUCAGCUCUGCCUGCUCAAGAAAAGUCCUGCUAUUUGUGGUAUUUUUCCCAAAUAAAUUGUCCCUCUCCAUCCCUCUCUCUCCUCACCCCCAGCCUUUGCACUGCCCUGGGGUGGCAGAGCACAAAUCCUUUUUGGUGAAAUAUGAGGCAUUAAUUUCAGAAGUUUCCUUGAGUGGGCUUUGCACUGGUGUGGGGAAGUUCAUUCCCACCUGGCUCUGCUCUGGGAUUCUGGGAUUCUGAAAUUGGAGGCAGCAAAACAGGGGCAAGAUGGGCAGACAGAGACAUUUCUGGGUGUUCCCUGGAGAGUGCAUUUCCCAUCACACACAUCCCACAAUUCCUGUGCCUUCCCAGCUCCACCAAGCUCCUGCCACCCCAAGAACAGCAGAACCACCUGGGGCACCUCCCACCCCCCCAGAACUCCCCCAUUCCCCCCGAGAGCAGGGAGCACAGCCAGGUAAGAGGGAGGCCCCUCAACUUUCCUGUCCUUGGAGAAGCUCUCCAGCUUCUGCCGGAUGGAUUUGAUGCCUCUGGAGCCAUCUGGGAGGAGAAGGGGAAAUUUCAGCAGCAGCACCACGGGGCUGGGUGGGCACAGGGUCCCUGUCCCUCUGCAGCCUCCAGCCAGGGGACACUGCAGUGUCCAUCACUAGAUGGACAGCACGGACUGGGAUGGACAGCAAGGACUGGGAUGGACAUCACAGACUGGGGAUGGACAGCACUGACUGGGGAUGGACAUCACAGACUGGGGAUGGACAGCACUGACUGGGGAUGGACAGCACUGACUGGGAUGGACAGCACUGACUGGGGGGGGGGGGGGGGGGGGGGGGGGGGGGGGGGGGGGGGGGGGGGGGGGGGGGGGGGGGGGGGGGGGGGGGGGGGGGGGGGGGGG